CGUAGUCAUGGGACGGGUGGGGCGGUAAGAGGGGGGGGGGUGGUGUUAAGUGGAAUUGCUGGUGGUAAGGGGAGCGAAGUGGUGGAUGUAUGACAGAGGUGAAAUCCCCGGGCUCAACGUGGGAACGGCGGUUGUGAGUGCAUAACUAGAGUACGGCAGAGGGAGGUGGAAGUCCGCGUGUAGCAGUGAAAUGCGUAGAGAUGCGGAGGAACACCGAUGGCGAAGGCAGCCUCCUGGGCCAGUACUGACGCUCAUGCACGAAAGCGUGGGGAGCAAACAGGAUUAGAUACCCCGGUAGUC
This 300-nucleotide ribosomal RNA is filed under the name uncultured Sulfophobococcus sp. RNAcentral's name for it is "bacterial SSU rRNA". The stretch from base 52 to 300 matches the Rfam family "Bacterial small subunit ribosomal RNA", at positions 547 to 795 of the family's 1533-position model. The record is from RNAcentral. Lineage: Archaea; Thermoproteati; Thermoproteota; Thermoprotei; Desulfurococcales; Desulfurococcaceae.